This 500-nucleotide ribosomal RNA is filed under the name uncultured bacterium. RNAcentral's name for it is "partial 16S ribosomal RNA". It matches the Rfam family "Bacterial small subunit ribosomal RNA", at positions 30 to 523 of the family's 1533-position model. The record is from RNAcentral.
AUUGAACGCUGGCGGUAUGCUUAACACAUGCAAGUCGAACGAUGAGAAAGAGCUUGCUCUUUCGAUUAGUGGCGGACGGGUGCGUAACGCGUAGGAAUCUACCUAUUAGUGGGGGACAACUUAGGGAAACUUAAGCUAAUACCGCAUACGCCCUACGGGGGAAAGAAGGGGAUCGCAAGACCUUUUGCUAAUAGAUGAGCCUGCGUAGGAUUAGCUAGUUGGUGGGGUAAAAGCUCACCAAGGCGACGAUCCUUAACUGGUUUGAGAGGAUGAUCAGUCACCCUGGAACUGAGACACGGUCCAGACUCGUGCGGGAGGCAGCAGUGGGGAAUAUUGGACAAUGGGCGAAGGCCUGAUCCAGCCAGGCCGCGUGUGUGAAGAAGGUCUUCGGAUUGUAAAGCACUUUAAGUCGGGAGGAAGGGCUGUAGGCUAAUACCUUGCAGUUUUGACGUUACCGACAGAAUAAGCACCGGCUAACUUCGUGCCAGCCGCCGCCGUAA